Molecule: ribosomal RNA, 443 nt
Filed under: uncultured bacterium
Lineage: Bacteria
Description: partial 16S ribosomal RNA
Rfam family: Bacterial small subunit ribosomal RNA
Source: RNAcentral
GAUGAACGCUGGCGGCAUGCCUAACACAUGCAAGUCGAUCGGUAAGGCUCUUCGGAGUACACGAGAGGCGGACGGCUGAGUAACGCGUAGGAACACACCCUGCAGUGAGGGAUAAAACACCGAAAGGUGUUCUAAUACCGCAUACGGUCUUCGGAUUAAAGCAUUUAUGCGCUGAAGGAGUGGCCUGCGUCAUAUUAGAUAGUUGGUGAGGUAAUGGCUCACCAAGUCGAUGAUGUGUAGCUGGUCUGAGAGGAUGAUCAGCCAGACUGGAACUGAGACACGGUCCAGACUCCUACGGGAGGCAGCAGUGAGGAAUAUUUCACAAUGAGCGAAAGCUUGAUGGAGCAAUGCCGCGUGCAGGAUGAAGGCCCUCGGGUUGUAAACUGCUUUUAUAAGAGAAGAUUAUGACGGUAACUUAUGAAUAAGGGACGGCUAACUACGUG